This 202-nucleotide unclassified non-coding RNA is filed under the name uncultured fungus. Its description in RNAcentral is "sequence contains ITS1, 5.8S rRNA gene". The stretch from base 154 to 202 matches the Rfam family "5.8S ribosomal RNA", at positions 1 to 49 of the family's 154-position model. The record is from RNAcentral. Lineage: Eukaryota; Fungi.
UUUUCGUAGGUGAACCUGCGGAAGGAUCAUUAUUGAAGCAUAAGAGCGCACUUCAUCGUGGCUCGACCCUUCAUAUCCACCCACACUGUGCACUGUAAUACCUUUUUUAGACUCUACAAGUCAAAGAAUGUACCACUUUAAAUAAAGUAACAAAACUUUCAACAACGGAUCUCUUGGUUCUCGCAUCGAUGAAGAACGCAGC